Molecule: long non-coding RNA, 275 nt
Organism: Chelonia mydas (Green sea turtle)
Lineage: Eukaryota; Metazoa; Chordata; Testudines; Cheloniidae
Exons: 3
Source: RefSeq, a predicted model, not a curated record
GUCCCCCUUUUAUAUCGUCUUCCCACUUGCUGGAAAGCUCUUUUGCUGUGACCUGGGUCAAACAGUUCCCGUUGUGCAGUGCUAUCUCUGAGAGGUUUCUAUUGUACAAGUUCCUGGGGUAAUCCUUGUGCUUGUGUGCAUUUCCUCAAUAAGCCAUCAACAUUGUUUGGCCUUUUUACUGUUGUACCUGCAAUGCGGCUUGUGGGUGUUUCCAGCCUCACAAAAUGUUUCAAGUAGAAAAGGAGGACUUGUGGCACCUUAGAGACUAAAAUUUA